GCCAGGCACGGUGGCGCGUGCCUGUAGUCCCAGCUACUCGGGAGGCUGAGGUGGGAGGAUUGCUUGAGCCCAGGAGUUCUGGGCUGUAGUGCGCUAUGCCAAUCGGGUGUCCGCACUAAAUUCAGCAUCAAUAUGGUGACCUCCCGGGAGUGGGGGACCACCUGGUUACCUAAGGAGGGGUGAACUGGCCCAGGUUGGAAACGGAGCAGGUCAAAACUCCCGUGCUGAUCAGUAAUGGGAUUGUGCCUGUGAAUAGCCACUGCACUCCAGCCUGGGCAACAUAGCGAGACCCCAUCUCA
Molecule: signal recognition particle RNA, 299 nt
Filed under: Saimiri boliviensis boliviensis (Bolivian squirrel monkey)
Lineage: Eukaryota; Metazoa; Chordata; Mammalia; Primates; Cebidae
Description: Metazoan signal recognition particle RNA (ENSSBOG00000002526.1)
Rfam family: Metazoan signal recognition particle RNA
About the family: The signal recognition particle (SRP) is a universally conserved ribonucleoprotein.
Source: RNAcentral